Molecule: ribosomal RNA, 171 nt
Filed under: Fusarium oxysporum
Lineage: Eukaryota; Fungi; Ascomycota; Sordariomycetes; Hypocreales; Nectriaceae
Description: partial 18S ribosomal RNA
Rfam family: Eukaryotic small subunit ribosomal RNA
Source: RNAcentral
CCGUCGCUACUACCGAUUGAAUGGCUCAGUGAGGCGUCCGGACUGGCCCAGAGAGGUGGGCAACUACCACUCAGGGCCGGAAAGCUCUCCAAACUCGGUCAUUUAGAGGAAGUAAAAGUCGUAACAAGGUCUCCGUUGGUGAACCAGCGGAGGGAUCAUUACCGAGUUUAC